GUACAGUUUUGUACUUUGCUCUUAAGUUGUUUAUUUGAUAACCCUGUUUCUGGUUAAGGGCUCUAAAGAUGACUCGCUUAUCAGGAGAUAAACUUAUAUUUAUAAUAAGAUAAUGCACUGCUUUUCCCAGUGCUUGGAGUUUCAUUAAACUUUAAACUACUUUGAAACUCCUUUUUACUGUUUAUGCAUAUAGUUACUCUAUAGCCUUUUGCCUCUCAAUUUGCUCACUUCAUAUUCCUAGCAUCAGGUAAAGACAAAAAUGAUGAUUCUUAUGCCACAAAUGGAAUGCACAUGCUCUUUAAAAUAUAACACAAGAGCUAAAUAGUCAACCAUUUCUACUUCUACACAUUGUCAAGAAGUGAUUGAACUGAAAUUUGCCAUGUGUGUUGAGAAUAUGGUGUCAAAACAAGUGUACCUUUUUUGUUGUCACUUGCGUCUAGGCGACCAAGGCUUUGGAGGGAGCUGGACGCAAGAAGACAUGAACAAGGCGAUGUCUUGAUAACUAUGCUUUUUUGGAUUCAUCUGCUACCAUGUGGCACCAAUAAUUGUUAAAAUAUACCUUGAACGAUUAACUUUAAUGAUAUUUUAGUUUAUUCAUGACUAUAUGUAUUCUUAGCAGUCAUCAAC
Molecule: long non-coding RNA, 627 nt
Organism: Telopea speciosissima
Lineage: Eukaryota; Viridiplantae; Streptophyta; Magnoliopsida; Proteales; Proteaceae
Exons: 2
Source: RefSeq, a predicted model, not a curated record